This is a long non-coding RNA of Homo sapiens (human), 1361 nucleotides long. Ensembl annotates it as cancer susceptibility 15. Its record names the gene CASC15. NCBI's taxonomy places the organism in Eukaryota, Metazoa, Chordata, Mammalia, Primates, Hominidae. The record is from Ensembl.
AGAGAUCAGAAGUAGACUUCAGAAUGUACUAUUCAAAAAAGGAUGCAAUGGAGAACAUUUACAGAGGACUGUGGGUAAAGCAAAGUCUUCAAGGGAAGAUAACAAAGGAUGAAACAAUGGUGUUGUGUGACUUCCUAGUGUGAAUCAUGGCAAUACAGUGAAAGACAGUGAUUUACUGCUUUUGAGGGCGUGCAUGUAUAUGAUUAACGGAUGGAAGUGCAGGACUCCAAGAUUUACUUCCUUCCCUUUCCAGCAGAAUUACCUGAGACGAGUAAAAUCUACUGGUGGAGUCACUCCAUUAUUCUUAUCUGUGGAGAUCUAGAUCUUGAUUUGAAAGUUUCUGAGAAAAUCUUCAGCUCAGACUUGAGGGUCAACUUUACCAGCUGAAGGAUCUGCAUUUACUGCUCAACCACAUCUAAUUUGAUGUCCUCUGCAGAUUUAAAAUGUGUGCCUUCUUUUCCGUCACCAAGUCAUCCCUGGGUUACUACUGAACAUCCUUCUCAAUUCCCCCCGACCCAUGGAUGGCUGUUCUCCAUUGUCUGUUUCACCAGAUGUCCUCAAAACAAACAGACAGAAGAAGGAAGUGGCUAAUGGAGCUGUGGAGUCCAAGUGUGACUGCCAAGAGGAAUCCAGCAAAGCCAAAAAGCCCAAGCAUGUAGCCCUGCCCGAAGCACGCCACACGCAUGGAAAACCCAGAGGAAAUGAGUGAGGAUCAAUGGGAAGAAGAGAGCCAGCCAGGUUCGAUGCCUUCUCCAUCCGUCAGUGAGGGUGUGGAGAGCCUGCAGGCGUGUGCCUCCCUCUGUAACUUGCUAUUCCUUGUGUAAUGUCAAGUGGAAGUGUGAAGCACCACAAACUGCUCUGAGCAGAGCCCACUUCCCUUCACCCACGGAGAGCGUGAAGCAGUUACACCAACAUCAAUCAAGGAAAACCCACAGGCUGAGCUCACACGGUUGAAGCAGGAAGUUGAAGAUUUGUCCAGGAGCAGAUAGCUGAAGAGAGAGAGAGAGAAGAGAGAACGGCUUACAGCUCAGGUCCUCUCUCCAUGCUUAGGAACCACUACAAAUGCUACUGCCUUGAGUCUCAUUUUGUUUCCCUCUGGAAACCACAUGUGUACCUUGUUUGCAACAGUAUGGGUAUGGAUGUUUUGGUAGUUCUUACACAUUUAUUUUAAAAUUUAAAGAAGUAGUGCCAUAAAGCUUUAUCAGGAUGUAUUUAAAAUGAAAAUAGUCUCUUGUUAUCUAGCAUGCAACUGAUUCUUUCAAUUUGGUUUGGUUAGUCAGAAUCUUACCAGAAGUCUGUCCAGGUGAUAGGUUAGUUGAGAGCAUCAAGACCAACCAAAAUAAAACAAAAACAAUAGCCUA